CCGGUGUCGACUUACUAGCUGCAAGCCUCUGCCUGCCUUCCUGCGCGCCGUUCCCCGCUAGUCGCUGCUGCUGGCGCGCACUCGCCGGGUUUUUCCUCCCACGGCCUCGAGAUGGUGGUGAAUGUGGCACGGAGGAGCCGGGCCUUCCAACCCGGUGGGCCCGAGCUCCGAAAGGCCCCCUCGGCAGUGAGAGGGGCGGGAGCCCGCGGGGGCCGCGCCCUUCUCUCGCUUCGGACUGCGCAACGCUGCGCUCUGGGCUGACAGAUGAAGACUCUUAAGAUGACAGAAGGUGAUUUUUCUGGUGAUCGAGGACUUCCGGGGUAAUGACAGUGAUGAAAUGCAGGGGACCUGGUUGCCCCCAAGUUUCCUGGCAGUGUGUGAUACUGAGGAGGUGAGCUUGUUUCUGGAGCUGUGCUUUAAGAUUCAUGUUACAUGUAAAGCUGUCCUCAUUUGUGACUAUGGACCUAUGGAGUUGGGACAAUCUCUAUGGGAAGCAGAAGGCAAGGACCCCGGUCAUUUUAGGUAGAAACAACAGCAUGCUAAUGCAAAAAAUUAUGCAGUGUGCUACUGAACUUCAGAGGUGAUCAAUAAAAGAAGAAUAAAAAGACUAA
This 611-nucleotide long non-coding RNA is filed under the name Homo sapiens (human). RNAcentral's name for it is "HSALNT0291036". The record is from RNAcentral. Lineage: Eukaryota; Metazoa; Chordata; Mammalia; Primates; Hominidae.